RNAcentral lists this ribosomal RNA (460 nucleotides) under uncultured bacterium. RNAcentral's name for it is "partial 16S ribosomal RNA". It matches the Rfam family "Bacterial small subunit ribosomal RNA", at positions 338 to 795 of the family's 1533-position model. The record is from RNAcentral.
CCUACGGGGGGCAGCAGUGAGGAAUAUUGGUCAAUGGACGAGAGUCUGAACCAGCCAAGUAGCGUGAAGGAUGACUGCCCUAUGGGUUGUAAACUUCUUUUAUAUGGGAAUAAAAUGUUCCACGUGUGGGAUUUUGUAUGUACCAUAUGAAUAAGGAUCGGCUAACUCCGUGCCAGCAGCCGCGGUAAUACGGAGGAUCCGAGCGUUAUCCGGAUUUAUUGGGGUUAAAGGGAGCGUAGGUGGAUUGUUAAGUCAGUUGUGAAAGUUUGCGGCUCAACCGUAGAAUUGCAGUUGAAACUGGCAGUCUUGAGUGCAGUAGAGGUAGGCGGAAUGCGUGGUGUAGCGGUGAAAUGCUUAGAGAUCACGAAGAACUCCGAUUGCGAAGGCAGUUCACUGGACUGCAACUGACACUGAGGCACGAAAGUGUGGGUAUCAAACAGGAUUAGAUACCCUAGUAGUC